CCAAUAGCGUAUAUUAAAGUUGUUGCAGUUAAAAAGCUCGUAGUUGAAUUUCGGGAUCAGUACGCUGGUCAUGCCUUUGGUAUGCACUGGUGUCACUGGUUUCUCCCUUCUGAAGAUCCGUGAUGUCAUUAAUUUGGUGUCGCGGGGAAUCAGGACUGUUACUUUGAAAAAAUUAGAGUGUUUAAAGCAGGCUCACGCUUGAAUACAUUAGCAUGGAAUAAUGAAAUAGGACGUUUGACCCUAUUUUGUUGGUUUCUAGGAUCGACGUAAUGAUUAAUAGGGAUAGUUGGGGGCAUUAGUAUUCAAUUGUAAGAGGUGAAAUUCUUGGAUUUAUUGAAGACGAACUACUGCGAAAGCAUUUGCCAAGGAUGUUUUCAUUAAUCAAGAACGAAAGUUAGGGGAUCGAAGACGAUCAAAUACCGUCGUAGUCUUAACCAUAAACUAUGCCGACUAGGGAUCGGAUGAUGUUAAUUUUAUAAUGACUCAUUCGGCGCCUUACG
This 500-nucleotide ribosomal RNA is filed under the name uncultured Glomeromycotina. Its description in RNAcentral is "partial small subunit ribosomal RNA". It matches the Rfam family "Eukaryotic small subunit ribosomal RNA", at positions 591 to 1092 of the family's 1831-position model. The record is from RNAcentral. Lineage: Eukaryota; Fungi; Glomeromycota.